RNAcentral lists this ribosomal RNA (451 nucleotides) under uncultured bacterium. Its description in RNAcentral is "bacterial SSU rRNA". It matches the Rfam family "Bacterial small subunit ribosomal RNA", at positions 355 to 825 of the family's 1533-position model. The record is from RNAcentral.
UCAAGAAACUUCCACAAUGGGCGAAAGCCUGAUGGAGCGACGUCGCGUGAUGGACGAAGUGCUUCGGCACGUAAACAUCUUUUUAUGUGGGAUGAAAUUAUUGACAGUACCACAUGAAUAAGGGGCUCCUAACUCUGUGCCAGCAGGAGCGGUAAUACAGAGGCCCCAAGCGUUAUCCGGAAUCACUGGGCGUAAAGGGUGUCGAGGCGGUUGUAUUAGUCGUUCGUAAAAUCUACGAGCUUAACUUGUAGGCGGCGAACGAAACGGUACGACUUGAGGUUUGGAGAGGUGCGUGGAACUCACGGUGUAGGGGUGAAAUCCGUUGAUAUCGUGGGGACCACCAAAGGCGAAGGCAGCGCACUGGCCAAAAUCUGACGCUCACACACGAAAGCUAGGGUAGCGAAGAGGAUUAGAUACCCAAGUAGUCCCUGAGCGGGCUGGCAAGGCGCAU